Molecule: long non-coding RNA, 1133 nt
Organism: Oreochromis niloticus (Nile tilapia)
Lineage: Eukaryota; Metazoa; Chordata; Actinopteri; Cichliformes; Cichlidae
Exons: 4
Source: RefSeq, a predicted model, not a curated record
AACAGUUCUCCACAGUCACUGUCCAUGUGGGUCAGUGGGACCAAGGAGUACUCUGACCAGCAACAUCCAGCAAGACCCAGACAACGUUUUCUAUCUCCCAGCUGGAGUUUUUUGUUUGUCUGUGACCGGAGAGUCAGAUUUUUGUCGAGGCUGGAGGAACAGCCUCACACUUGCAGAGGUUAAUACACGCUACUGAUCCCUGAUGGGAGAAUCAUCACCUCUGCCAACAAAGAAGCCUGGUGGAUGAUUGUUUACAGUCUGAUGAUGGGACAUCAUGCUCUGCAUCUUCAAAGAGUGUUUCUGAGUGAGGGAGAGAGGAGUCAUCAACCAGCUUCAAAGAAAACAUCCAGAUGGGCAGGAUAUCACUAUUGGACUGUCUAACCUGCCAGAGCAGCAUUGAGUGACCACCACACAUGAGCAUGUUCCUGCAACAUUCAGCAUCUGAUCCUUCAUCUGUGUGCUUCUGCUUUUGGUAAGUAGAGUUACCUAACUACAGUAAUUCUAAACAUAUGCCAUCCAUUUCUAACGGCCUGGUUACUUCCUGUCAGUUAUUUUAGGAACACUGUUUCUUCUUGUUCCCCUUAAUGUUGAAGUGUCAAAUGUCAAAAACGUUUCAUUGUGACAUCACCAAAGACAGCCCCGCCCACCUCAGGACCUCGCCGUGGUCAUGAUGAUUAUAAUGAUGACAGUAAGCGGAAAUAAGACUGUAAAAAUCCACGACCAGAAUGUUUAGAUGCUUUCUAAUUAUUAAUGAAUACUGAGAGCCUCUUUCUGUAUUUUGUCUGUUUUGUUUGGGUUUUUUGGGGGGGGGGGUUUACCUCAUUUGUUACUAACAAAGUUCACCAAACUCACACAGUUUACAUUCUGUAUGUGUUUUCAUCUUUACCAGCCACCCUCUAACUGCAAUUAAGAAAACAAACCUUAAAAAUCGUUGUUUUUCUCUUUUGUAAUUGAUGAUAAUUCAGUGAAAAUACUGCGCUGCUUCCCUUUGUUUCAUCCCACAUUGCUUUAAGUUUUUCAGUGUCCAGUUAUUUUUUACUGCUGUUUGAAUUCACUGUAUGGACUGCUUGUCUUCCUGUUUGUAACCGCCGCCUGUUUUUGACUAAAGAUUUGGAUUUCUGACUUUAACACAG